UAACUUUCUUAAUUUUUCUACUCGGCUCUUAAAAUAAACAAUCAGCUAAUAGCUGCUUUCUGCAUCUUCCUUGCAAUUCAGGAGUACACAACACUAAAAGUCCAAUACUCAGUACCCCCUAGCCUAAAUUCCCCACCCGCUACUGUAACUAAGUUUACAGCCCACGUUAUGGCAGUUCACCCGCUAGGCAGAUAUGCUCAGUACCCCCUAGCCUAAGUUCCCCACCCGCUACUGUAACUAAGUUUACAGCCCACGUUAUGGCAGUUCACCCGCUAGGCAGAUACACAAUACACACACGUAUUACUUAUUUUAUAUUUCCUGGUCUCUCAGGGAUAUACAAUAGCUAAUCCCCUUCCCAGGGCAAUAUAAAACUGACACAAACUUUUAAGCAAUACAGGAUUUCAAAUGGACUUAUGAGUAACAAAUUUCUAGCCAAC
This is a non-coding RNA of Pelobates cultripes (western spadefoot toad), 437 nucleotides long. The record is from the annotation of a GenBank genome assembly. NCBI's taxonomy places the organism in Eukaryota, Metazoa, Chordata, Amphibia, Anura, Pelobatidae.